Molecule: ribosomal RNA, 257 nt
Filed under: uncultured prokaryote
Description: partial 16S ribosomal RNA
Rfam family: Bacterial small subunit ribosomal RNA
Source: RNAcentral
UACGUAGGUGGCAAGCGUUGUCCGGAAUCAUUGGGCGUAAAGCGCGCGCAGGCGGUCCUUUAAGUCUGAUGUGAAAUCUUGCGGCUCAACCGUAAGCGGCCAUUGGAAACUGGUCGACUUGAGUGCAGAAGAGGGAAGUGAAAUUCCAUGUGUAGCGGUGAAAUGCGUAGAGAUAUGGAGGAACACCAGUGGCGAAGGCGGCUUCCUGGUCUGUAACUGACACUGAGGCGCGAAAGCGUGGGGAGCAAACAGGAUUA